Molecule: ribosomal RNA, 301 nt
Filed under: uncultured bacterium
Lineage: Bacteria
Description: partial 16S ribosomal RNA
Rfam family: Bacterial small subunit ribosomal RNA
Source: RNAcentral
CAGCCGCCGCGGUAAUACGAAGGGGGCUAGCGUUGUUCGGAAUUACUGGGCGUAAAGCGCACGUAGGCGGAUAUUUAAGUCAGGGGUGAAAUCCCAGAGCUCAACUCUGGAACUGCCUUUGAUACUGGGUAUCUUGAGUAUGGAAGAGGUGAGUGGAAUUUCGAGUGCAGAGGUGAAAUUCGUAGAUAUUCGGAGGAACACCAGUGGCGAAGGCGGCUCACUGGUCCAUUACUGACGCUGAGGUGCGAAAGCGUGGGGAGCAAACAGGAUUAGAUACCCGUGUAGUCCCUGUCUCUUAUAC